AUGGCUUGCGCUGCCGCGCGGUCCCCGGCCAACCAGGACAGGUUUAUUUGUAUCUAUCCUGCUUAUUUAAAUAAUAAGAAGACCAUCGCAGAGGGAAGGCGAAUCCCCAUAAGUAAGGCUGUUGAAAAUCCUACAGCUACAGAGAUUCAAGGUGUAUGUUCAGCAGUUGGACUUAACGUAUUUCUUGAGAAAAAUAAAAUGCACUCUAGAGAAUGGAAUCGUGAUGUCUAAUACAGAGGCAGAGUCCGGGUCCAGCUCAAACAGGAAGAUGGCAGCCUCUGCCUUGUGCAGUUCCCAUCACGUAAGUCAGUAAUGUUGUAUGCAGCAGAAACGAUACCUAAACUAAAAACAAGGACACAAAAAGCAGGAGGUGCUGACCAAAGUCUUCAACAAGGAGAGGGAAGUAAAAAAGGGAAAGGAAAGAAAAAGAAGUAACCUAGUAUCAGCAUCAAGUAUGUGGUACUACUGUAAGAGACAUGAAUGGAGACUUCUAAUUUGUAUCAGAGGGAAACAGAAGCUUUUUGUUUGCAUCAUUUAACUGAACUGCGAACGCUUGUGCCUCUCAUGUUUAUCAUCGGAGUUGAUAGUGAAACAAAUUUACAUCAGAAGUUUGCA
Cercocebus atys (sooty mangabey) is the source of this 615-nucleotide RNA transcript. It is a transcript of the gene named signal recognition particle 19 kDa protein pseudogene, with no coding region annotated. The transcript has a single exon. The record is from RefSeq and is a predicted model, not a curated record. NCBI's taxonomy places the organism in Eukaryota, Metazoa, Chordata, Mammalia, Primates, Cercopithecidae.